This 338-nucleotide ribosomal RNA is filed under the name Enterococcus durans. Its description in RNAcentral is "bacterial SSU rRNA". It matches the Rfam family "Bacterial small subunit ribosomal RNA", at positions 40 to 356 of the family's 1533-position model. Lineage: Bacteria; Bacillati; Bacillota; Bacilli; Lactobacillales; Enterococcaceae. The record is from RNAcentral.
CAGUGCGGCUGCUAUAAUGCAAGUCGUACGCUUCUUUUUCCACCGGAGCUUGCUCCACCGGAAAAAGAAGAGUGGCGAACGGGUGAGUAACACGUGGGUAACCUGCCCAUCAGAAGGGGAAACACUUGGAAACAGGUGCUAAUACCGUAUAACAAUCGAAACCGCAUGGUUUUGAUUUGAAAGGCGCUCCUCCCCUGUCGCUGAUGGAUGGACCCGCGGUGCAUUAGCUAGUUGGUGAGGUAACGGCUCACCAAGGCCACGAUGCAUAGCCGACCUGAGAGGGUGAUCGGCCACAUUGGGACUGAUACAUGCCCAACCUCCUACGGGAGGCAGCAGUA